RNAcentral lists this long non-coding RNA (731 nucleotides) under Parus major (Great Tit). Its description in RNAcentral is "lncRNA (ENSPMJG00000019965.1)". The record is from RNAcentral. Lineage: Eukaryota; Metazoa; Chordata; Aves; Passeriformes; Paridae.
UGAGGAUCAGGAGCUGCUUGCCAGGUCUGACUUUGUGACACUUCAGCCCCUCCUGCCUUCCUUCUCAAAUGGCUGUCCAGAGGAGGGGGACAAGCUGUGAAAGCACCAUGGUGAAGCCUUCCAUCUGUGCUACCUCAGCUUCCAGAGGUGUUUUGUUCAUGUGUCUGAAAGUUUCUCAUCUGAACAGCAGAGACUGCAAAAGUCAAUUCCUUCCCCCAGCUCAAGCCUCCUGCAAGGUGCUGUUUUUUGAAGCUGUCUUCUUCUCUGACUUUUGUGAGAAAAGCCAGAAUCUGUCAUCUUUUUUACACAUGAGCCUGUCCCACCCUGCAAACCCAGGAUCUUUGAAAAGCAAAUAUUGUAUGGACUGGUUUCUUGAUGUUUUGCAGCAAGGCAUCAUCAUCCUCUAUCCUUGGCUGGAGAUGCUCAUCUCUUCAUGACCCUCCAUUUCUGUAUUAAUUUGGGUUAAUUGCACAGGUGGCAUGUUCCUGUUGACAGGCCUGAGAACAAAUGCUGGAUGCUAAACACACCAAGGCAUUCAUGAUAUGUUAGCUCCACAGCACUGAAGACAGUUUCAUAACUUAAGACAAAUUCUACAAAUAGAUGCACCUGCUUAUCUGCAGAUGGAGAAUAUAAAGUGUGUUAUUACUGUGAAACUCCUGAAUGCAAUUUAUGUGUUUGCCUUACUCAUAAAUUAUAUUCGCAGGUUUAGAAUAAACAUCUCCAGCUUCACA